Molecule: long non-coding RNA, 1651 nt
Organism: Bos taurus (domestic cattle)
Lineage: Eukaryota; Metazoa; Chordata; Mammalia; Artiodactyla; Bovidae
Source: Ensembl
AACAAAGAUCAGGACUGAGGGGUGAAGCUUCCCAAAGGAGGGCGGGUCCUGGCGGCGCUAGACAAGGGGCAGGUGCCCGGGUGGAAGAAGGGCACUGGGGCAGGAAGGGGACCCGCGCACGUGGGCCUUCAGGCCGGGUCUCCGCGCGGAGGAAAGGGUCACGUGCAGGUCAGAGCCCCGCACAGGAUUGUAUUCCAUUAUGGGUUAUUACAAGACACUAGAUAUAAUUCCCUGUGGUAUGCAGUAAAUCCUGGCUGCUUAUCUAUUUUAGGAAAAUUUCUAAACAAAAACCCGAACAUCAACAACAACAAACCAACAUGAUGUCCAGGGCAGUGCUGGCUCUGAGCAUCUUUCUACCAGACUACGAAUAAAACCCUCAUUGUUGGAUUCCACGUCUUGACGGUCAUUCUGCACAGACAGUCACCCAACCGGGGGUGGGGUGGGGCGAAGGUGCGGGGAGUAAGAAGGAGCUUCAGAAGACAAAGCCAGCUUGAGAGCCCCACUCCUCGCCGCUUUCCCUCAGUACAAAGAAGGCGCUUCGCAAAGAUCUGCUCUCCCCUCCUCCCAGCAUGUUAGCAGGGCCGCCCCCACGGUGGGACUCCCCGCUCAGAGGGGCCUGGGGAUGGAGUCAUGCCACAGGUCACGGCUGCAGGCCCCUGACCCCCAGAGGCCUGCUGGCCCGCAAGGGCACACACAGCUCCUCAACGAACUCGGUGCCCGCUGCUCACUCCCCAUUGGGGUCUGGGGUAACAAUGCCAUCCUGGGGGCCUCCACUCACCUCCAUCAUGCUCAGGGCAGACUGUCUGCCUUUCCGGUUGUUCAGGGAACGUUUUGAAUCUAAUUCUAAGGAAGCGUGGGCGUGCCAGUCUGCUGUCCUGGCGCUCCUCUCUCGGCAGCUCUGUCCCUCUCUGCCUGGUUAUGACAUCCAGAUUGAACUCAUGGGAGGGAUAAAUUGGGAGACUGGGACUGACAUAUGCAUACCGCUAUAUACCUGUAUAUACCCACGCAUACCGCUAUAUGCCUAUAUAUACUGCCAUAUACUAUAGAUACCACUGUAUACCCACGCAUACCACUGUAUACUAUAGAUACCACUGUAUACCCACGCAUACCGCUGUAUACAUACACAUACUACUAUAUACAUAUAAUAACUAAUAAGGACCUACUGUAUAGCACAGGGGCUUCCCUUGUGGCUCAGCUGAUAAAGAAUCCGCCUGCAAUGUGGGAGACCUUGGUUCGAUCCCUGGAGAAGGGAAUGGCUACCCACUCCAGUAUUCUGACCUGGAGAGUUCCCUGGACUGUAUAGUCCAUGGGGUCGCAAAGGGUCGGACACGACUGAGCGACUUUCACAGGGAACUCAAUACUCUGUAAUGAGCUAUAUGGGAAAAGAAUCUAAAAAAUAGUGGAUUUAUGUGCAUCUGGCUUUCCCUAGUGGCUUAGACAGUAAAUGCCUGCAACGCAGGCGGCCCGGGUUCAAUCCCUGGGUCGGGAAGUUCCCUUGGAGAAGGAAGUGGCACCGUACUGCAGUAUUCCUGCCUGGAUAAUUCCAUGGACAGAGGAACCUGGUGGGCUACAGUCCAUGGGGUUGCAAAGAGUCAGGCACGACUGAGUAACUCACACACACACACACGGCUUUUAAUAGAUAAUAGAGAAA